CCACUUCCCUCUAUGUCCAGGCUCCACAGUGAGCCCGUCCCAGACUCCCACUCCCCCAGAGCCACAGUGAUCAAAGGAAGGGAGGAAAACACGCUGGAACCCCUUGGACCUGCUGCUGAAUGGGGAUUUUGGUCGGAUGUUGAGUUUACCUGGAAUGCCCCGGUGCUAUUUUGGGAAGACAGACAUCCUAUGGAAACAAUGAAGUGGAAAAGAAAACAACUAAAGCAAAAUCCAGAGCCCAGUUUCUGCUAACCCAGCUCCACACAGCCUGGGCAGACCGUGGAAGCCCGUCAGGCGUGCAAAGGGCUGAGACUGAGUGUGUCCGGUUUACCAGCAGAGAAUGCGAGAUGUAGAAAAAGGGUCCCUUUGACAUUUCCAACAAGUCAGUGACGAAAUGGAAAGAUCCUGGGAACAGUCUGCAGAGCAGUUCUGACUGUGGCCAGCUGGCACAAGCACCAAUUUCCAGCCACUAACCACAGUACCCGUUCUCAAAGGUGCAGGAGCCAGACAAGUAAAUACACCCAGGCUGCUGACUGCGGGCAAAGCUUGGCACCUAGGCCAGCCUCAAAUUCCCAGCUGGCUCCUUUGUGUCAUGGGAGCAUCCCAGACUCCUCUCCUCCAGAUGAAAAAAAAUGAGCCAUCUUCCUAAAACAGCCUGCGGAGCUAGCUAGAGAACAUGCAGAACCUGUAAGCCCAGGAGCUCAGCUGUCCCAUCCUGGAAACAGACAUCUGUCUGCGCCUUCGUCUACAGAGCCCUGGCCCUCGCCUCUCGCUGUGAGCACCGCUCUCUCGUCUGCGUUCCAGUCGAGAGAUAAACAGAAUGGACUCGGAGGUGGACAUUGUUCUCCAACAGGCCUGACUGCAGCCCAGCUGGGCUAUGAGGAAGGAACUGUGCUCUGUGAUCAUGCCGGACAGAAGGAGAACAGAGUCAAAUGGGCUAACAUGUGUCUGUGCUCCUCUUGAGAGGCAAACCACAGGCCCAAAUCACAGCACUAACAAGUGGCAAAGCAAAGGAAGGAAUGCAGGUGCAGCUGGUUCCAGCGCUCAGGGCUCCUUCCUUCCCUGGAUGCGGAGAAUAUUCUAGCCUUCCUCGCCAAAACAGGCAGAGCAGAGCCAAGAGAUUUUGCAAAGACUGAAUCAUGAAGAAGGAACCAGGCCUCCCCUGGAUGAGCCUUGGAAAGCCCAACCACAGGGUCACAAAAAACAGUGAGGAAACAGAGGCACAGAGAGGUUAAGCAGUCUGCCUGAGGUCACCAAGUGAGAGAACUGAGAACUGUGAACCCACAGCUUUUGGAGUCUUAUACCUCUAGGUGGGAGAAUUUUCAGUCUGGGACAUGACUGAGGGAGUGGAAAUAAAGCGGAGGUUAGCAGUGUCCUUACUCCCACGAGGACAGGCCAGGAGCUCUGGCCCUGCCACAUUCAGGCCCCUGGGACCCACAGCACUGCAGCAGAACCAGAGAAGCUCCAGACCCUUGUCCCCAGGUUUUGAUGCCACCCCCAGGCCUUUGCCUGGGAUGGAAAGUCACCUGCUCCGUCACAGGGGAUACCCGGAAUAUCUGGGUUGGAUCACAGGCCAGCAGAAUUUGCGGAGGUUCAUCUCAUCCCAUAACAACCAAAAGGACUUGAGAGCUUGAUAUUUAAUGGAAAAGCCAUCACCAUUCUCAUGGAACUCAGCUGAAAGGAUGUAUGCUCAUGGGUGCCAG
Molecule: long non-coding RNA, 1703 nt
Filed under: Equus caballus (horse)
Lineage: Eukaryota; Metazoa; Chordata; Mammalia; Perissodactyla; Equidae
Description: lncRNA (ENSECAG00000056827.1)
Source: RNAcentral